Molecule: signal recognition particle RNA, 97 nt
Filed under: Deltaproteobacteria bacterium
Lineage: Bacteria; Pseudomonadati; Myxococcota; Myxococcia
Description: signal recognition particle sRNA small type
Rfam family: Bacterial small signal recognition particle RNA
About the family: The signal recognition particle (SRP) is a universally conserved ribonucleoprotein involved in the co-translational targeting of proteins to membranes. Archaeal SRP consists of a 7S RNA and homologues of the eukaryotic SRP19 and SRP54 proteins. In most bacteria, the SRP consists of a 4.5S RNA and the Ffh protein (a homologue of the eukaryotic SRP54 protein).
Source: RNAcentral
AGCCAGAUCCUGGGUGACGUUGGCCCACGAACCCCGCCAGGCCCGGAAGGGAGCAACGGUAGAGGUGUCUGAUGGGUGCCUAGGUCAUCUGGCUAUC